This 1243-nucleotide long non-coding RNA is filed under the name Homo sapiens (human). RNAcentral describes it as "atherosclerotic plaque pathogenesis associated transcript". Lineage: Eukaryota; Metazoa; Chordata; Mammalia; Primates; Hominidae. The record is from RNAcentral.
AAUCUUAGUUUCUGACAAAACAGACUUUGAAUCAACAAAGAUAAAAAAAGACAAAGAAGAACAUCACAAUGAUAAAGGAAUCAAUUCAACAAGAAGAGCUAACUAUCCUAAAUAUGUAUGCACCCAAUACAGGAGAACCCAGAUUCACAAAACAAGUUCUUAGAGACCUACAAAGAGACUCAGGCUACCACACAACAAUAGUGGGAGACAUUAACACCCCAUUGUCAAUAUUGGAUCAUCUAGGCAGAAAAUUGACCAGAAAGGACUUGAACACAGCUCUGGAUCAAGUGAAUCUCAUAGAUAUCUACAGAACUCUCCAACACGAAACAACAGACUAUAUAUUAUUCUUAGUGGCAUAUGACACUCUAAAAUUGAUCACAAAAUUAGAAUUAAAACACUCCUCAGCAAAUGCAAAAUAACUGAAAUCAUAACAAUCUCUCAGACCACAGUGCAAUCAAAUUAGAACUCAAGAUUAAGAAACUCACUCAAAACCACACAACUACAUGGAUAUUGAACAACGUGCUCCUGAGUGACUUCUGGGUAAAUAAUAAAAUUAAGGCAGAAAUCAAGAAGCUCUUUGAAACCAAUGAGAACAAAGAGACAAUGUACCAGAAUCUCUGGGAGGCAACUAAAGCAGUGUUAAGAGGUGAUGGCAUCAGCUGAGAAGGGAAGGAAGCCCAUGAGAGGACACUGAAGAAGGAGUGAGCAGACAAUAAGAAGCCCACAGAAGACAGAGAAGGAACAACUAGAGGGAGAAGCCAAGGCAGGCGUGUGUGUUUCUCCACAGACACUACCCAAAGCAGUGCUUCACUACAGUGGCAGACAGACCUGAAAAUUUUCAUCUGAAGCAGCAGAGUGAACUGCAGAGGCAGGUCACCAACCAGUGUGGAGGCUAAAAGCGGGCCUCUUUGGGGAUUCCAGGUGGAAGUGUUGGACAUCUGUAGUAUUCCUGGUCUCGAAUCAUCCUGAUAUUCUUCAUUUUGUUAUUCACAUUGGACUAGGAGAUAGAAUCUCACUAUGUUGACCAGGCUGGUCUUGAACUCUUGGCACCCAAGCGAUCCUUUUGCCUGGAAUCCCAAAGUGUCAGAUUUACUGAAGAAUAUUUCAUUGUAAUUACUUUUUAUACUUUAUAGGUCAAGAGCUCUGUUUUAAAUACAAAAUUUAUUGAAUAUACUUUUUCAAACAAAGUUUCAUGUUCUAAUCAUUGUCUGAUUUCAGCAUUAAAUGAAACACAGUAAAGAAA